This 403-nucleotide ribosomal RNA is filed under the name uncultured bacterium. RNAcentral's name for it is "partial 16S ribosomal RNA". It matches the Rfam family "Bacterial small subunit ribosomal RNA", at positions 30 to 526 of the family's 1533-position model. The record is from RNAcentral.
AUUGAACGCUGGCGGCAGGCCUAACACAUGCAAGUCGAGCGAGCGGCGGGCGGGUGAGUAAUAUAUAGGGACUGCCCGUUGGGGGGGGAUAACUACUGGAGACGGUAGCUCAUACCGCAUACUAUCGAAUAACCCAUAUGGGAUUAGAUGGUAGGGGAGGUAAUGGCUCACCUAGGCGACGAUCCCUAGCUGGUCUGAGAGGAUGAUCAGCCACACUGGAACUGAGACACGGUCCAGACUCCUACGGAGGCAGCAGUGGGGAAUAUUGGACAAUGGGCGAAAGCCUGAUGCAGCCAUGCCGCGUGUAUGAAGAAGGCCUUAGGGUUGUAAAGUACUUUCAGUCGGGAGGCGUUACCGACAGAAGAAGCACCGGCUAACUCCGUGCCAGCCGCCGCGGUAAUUC